RNAcentral lists this ribosomal RNA (354 nucleotides) under Triticum aestivum (bread wheat). RNAcentral describes it as "partial small subunit ribosomal RNA". The record is from RNAcentral. Lineage: Eukaryota; Viridiplantae; Streptophyta; Magnoliopsida; Poales; Poaceae.
AUGGUGGGGCACUCAUGGAGUCAGCACAAGGCUACUAAAAAAUUGUCAUUGAAGGUACUUGGGCAGCCUGCAUCUUCCUCUUGCUGUGAAAGGAAUUGGAGCACAUAUGGUUUCAUCCGUAGUUCUGGAAGAAACAAGCUAACACCUCCUAGAGCUUCCGAUUUGGUGCACACACACAACAACCAUCGCCUUCUUUCAAGGAAUUCUCAAGCAUAUAAAACUGGGCCAAGCCGAAUGUGGGAUGUUGGGGGUGAUGGAGUUGAGUCUUUUUCUAGUGUUGGCAUCCUUGAAGUUGUAGAUCUUUCACUUGAUGAACCAGAAUUGGAGGAGGAAAUCAUUGGUUCUCUCACUUGA